GAUGAACGCUGGCGGCGUGCCUAAUACAUGCAAGUCGAGCGAACGGACGAGAAGCUUGCUUCUCUGAUGUUAGCGGCGGACGGGUGAGUAACACGUGGAUAACCUACCUAUAAGACUGGGAUAACUUCGGGAAACCGGAGCUAAUACCGGAUAAUAUUUUGAACCGCAUGGUUCAAAAGUGAAAGACGGUCUUGCUGUCACUUAUAGAUGGAUCCGCGCUGCAUUAGCUAGUUGGUAAGGUAACGGCUUACCAAGGCAACGAUGCAUAGCCGACCUGAGAGGAUGAUCAGCCACACUGGAACUGAGACACGGUCCAGACUCCUACGGGAGGCAGCAGUAGGGAAUCUUCGACAAUGGGCGAAAGCCUGACGGAGCAACGCCGCGUGAGUGAUGAAGGUCUUCGGAUCGUAAAACUCUGUUAUUAGGGAAGAACAGAUGUGUAAGUAACUGUGCACAUCUUGACGGUACCUAAUGAGAAAGCCACGGCUAACUACGUG
Molecule: ribosomal RNA, 497 nt
Filed under: uncultured bacterium
Lineage: Bacteria
Description: partial 16S ribosomal RNA
Rfam family: Bacterial small subunit ribosomal RNA
Source: RNAcentral